AAUAUUUGGCAAUGGGCGCAAGCCUGACCCAGCAACGCCGCGUGAGGGAAGAAGGUCUUCGGAUUGUAAACCUCUGUCCUAUGUGACGAAGGAAGUGACGGUAGCAUAGGAGGAUGCCCCGGCUAACUACGUGCCAGCAGCCGCGGUAAUACGUAGGGGGCGAGCGUUGGCCGGAAUUACUGGGCGUAAAGGGUGCGUAGGUGGAACUUUAAGUUGGAUGUGAAAUCCCCGUGCUUAACAUGGGAGCUGCAUCCAAUACUGGAGAGCUAGAGUGCAGGAGAGGUAAGCGGAAUUCCUAGUGUAGCGGUGAAAUGCGUAGAUAUUAGGAGGAACACCAGUGGCGAAGGCGGCUUACUGGACUGUAACUGACACUGAGGCACGAAAGCGUGGGGAGCAAACA
This 400-nucleotide ribosomal RNA is filed under the name uncultured bacterium. RNAcentral's name for it is "partial 16S ribosomal RNA". It matches the Rfam family "Bacterial small subunit ribosomal RNA", at positions 360 to 774 of the family's 1533-position model. The record is from RNAcentral.